CUGUAAGACUGGGAUAACUUCGGGAAACCGAAGCUAAUACCGGAUAGGAUCUUCUCCUUCAUGGGAGAUGAUUGAAAGAUGGUUUCGGCUAUCACUUACAGAUGGGCCCGCGGUGCAUUAGCUAGUUGGUGAGGUAACGGCUCACCAAGGCAACGAUGCAUAGCCGACCUGAGAGGGUGAUCGGCCACACUGGGACUGAGACACGNNCCAGACUCNUACGGGAGGCAGCAGUAGGGAAUCUUCCGCAAUGGACGAAAGUCUGACGGAGCAACGCCGCGUGAGUGAUGAAGGCUUUCGGGUCGUAAAACUCUGUUGUUAGGGAAGAACAAGUACGAGAGUAACUGCUCGUACCUUGACGGUACCUAACCAGAAAGCCACGGCUAACUACGUGCCAGCAGCCGCGGUAAUACGUAGGUGGCAAGCGUUAUCCGGAAUUAUUGGGCGUAAAGCGCGCGCAGGCGGUUUCUUAAGUCUGAUGUGAAAGCCCACGGCUCAACCGUGGAG
Molecule: ribosomal RNA, 504 nt
Filed under: uncultured bacterium
Lineage: Bacteria
Description: bacterial SSU rRNA
Rfam family: Bacterial small subunit ribosomal RNA
Source: RNAcentral